Molecule: ribosomal RNA, 253 nt
Filed under: uncultured bacterium
Lineage: Bacteria
Description: partial 16S ribosomal RNA
Rfam family: Bacterial small subunit ribosomal RNA
Source: RNAcentral
UACGUAGGAGCCUAGCGUUGUCCGGAAUUACUGGGCGUAAAGAGCUCGUAGGUGGUUUGUCGCGUUGUUCGUGAAAUCUCACGGCUUAACUGUGAGCGUGCGGGCGAUACGGGCAGACUAGAGUACUGCAGGGGAGACUGGAAUUCCUGGUGUAGCGGUGGAAUGCGCAGAUAUCAGGAGGAACACCCGUGGCGAAGGCGGCCCACUGGGCCGGUACUGACGCUGAGGCACGAAGGCGUGGGGAGCGAACGGG